RNAcentral lists this ribosomal RNA (305 nucleotides) under uncultured bacterium. RNAcentral describes it as "bacterial SSU rRNA". It matches the Rfam family "Bacterial small subunit ribosomal RNA", at positions 335 to 637 of the family's 1533-position model. The record is from RNAcentral.
AUGCCUACGGGGCGCAGCAGUGAGGAAUAUUGGUCAAUGGGCGAGAGCCUGAACCAGCUAAGUUGCGUGAGGGAAGACUGCCCUAUGGGUUGUAAAACUCUUUUGUCAGGGAGCAACGCCGGCUACGUGUAGCCGGACUGAGAGUACCUGAAGAAAAAGCAUCGGCUAACUCCGUGCCAGCAGCCGCGGUAAUACGGAGGAUACGAGCGUUAUCCGGAUUUAUUGGGUUUAAAGGGUGCGUAGGCGGAAUGCCAAGUCAGCGGUAAAAUCGCGGGGCUCAACCUCGCUCCGCCGUUGAAACUGGC